RNAcentral lists this ribosomal RNA (482 nucleotides) under uncultured bacterium. RNAcentral describes it as "partial 16S ribosomal RNA". It matches the Rfam family "Bacterial small subunit ribosomal RNA", at positions 30 to 507 of the family's 1533-position model. The record is from RNAcentral.
AUUGAACGCUGGCGGCAUGCCUUACACAUGCAAGUCGAACGGUAACGGGCCUUCGGGUGCCGACGAGUGGCGAGCGGGGGGGUAAUACACCGGAACGUGCCCGAUCGUUGGGGAUAACGAGGCGAAAGCUUUGCUAAUACCGCAUACGAUCUACGUAUGCAAGCAGGGGACCGCAAGGCCUUGCGCGGACGGAGCGGCCGAUGGAAGAUUACGUAGGUGGUGGGAUAAAAGCUUACGAAGACGACGAUCUGUAGCUGUUCUGAGGGGAUGAUCAGCCACAUUGGCACUGAGACACGGCCCACACUCCUGCGGUAGGCAGCAGUGGGGAAUUUUGGACAAUGGGCGCAAGCCUGAUACAGCCAUGCCGCGUGCAGGAUGAAGGCCUUCGGGUUGUAAAGUGCUUUUGUACGGAACGAAAAGCAUUCUUUUAAUACAGGAGGGUCAUGACGGUACCGUAAGAAUAAGCACCGGCUAACUACGUG